GACGAACGCUGGCGGCGUGCUUAACACAUGCAAGUCGAACGGAAAGGCCCUGCUUUUGUGGGGUGCUCGAGUGGCGAACGGGUGAGUAACACGUGAGUAACCUGCCCUUGACUUUGGGAUAACUUCAGGAAACUGGGGCUAAUACCGGAUAGGAGCUCCUGCUGCAUGGUGGGGGUUGGAAAGUUUCGGCGGUUGGGGAUGGACUCGCGGCUUAUCAGCUUGUUGGUGGGGUAGUGGCUUACCAAGGCUUUGACGGGUAGCCGGCCUGAGAGGGUGACCGGCCACAUUGGGACGGGGAGACGGCCCAGACGCCUACGGGAGGCAGCAGUGGGGAAUAUUGCACAAGGGGCGGAAGCGUGAUGCAGCAACGCCGCGUGCGGGAGGACGGCCUUCGGGUGGUAAACCGAUUUCGCCUGUGACGAAGCGUGAGGGACGGUAAUGGGUAAAGAAACACCGGCUAACUACGU
Molecule: ribosomal RNA, 467 nt
Filed under: uncultured bacterium
Lineage: Bacteria
Description: partial 16S ribosomal RNA
Rfam family: Bacterial small subunit ribosomal RNA
Source: RNAcentral